GAUCCUGGCUCAGGAUGAACGCUGGCGGCGUGCCUAACACAUGCAAGUCGAACGGACUUACAUUGAAGCCUAGCGAUAUGUAAGUUAGUGGCGGACGGGUGAGUAACGCGUGGGUAACCUGCCUUGUACUGGGGGACAACAGUUGGAAACGACUGCUAAUACCGCAUAAGCGCACAGCUUCGCAUGAAGCAGUGUGAAAAACUCCGGUGGUACAAGAUGGACCCGCGUCUGAUUAGCUGGG
RNAcentral lists this ribosomal RNA (241 nucleotides) under uncultured bacterium. Its description in RNAcentral is "partial 16S ribosomal RNA". It matches the Rfam family "Bacterial small subunit ribosomal RNA", at positions 15 to 249 of the family's 1533-position model. The record is from RNAcentral.